Molecule: small nuclear RNA, 102 nt
Organism: Myotis daubentonii (Daubenton's bat)
Lineage: Eukaryota; Metazoa; Chordata; Mammalia; Chiroptera; Vespertilionidae
Source: RefSeq, a predicted model, not a curated record
GUGCUCGCUUAGGCAGCACCGAUACUGAAAUUGGACCGAUACAGAGAAAGAUUAGCCCUGCACAAGGAUGACACGCAAGUUCGUGAAGCGGUCCAUGUAAAA